UCCUCCCUCUUUCUUCGUGCCUAAUACAUGCAAGUAGAACGCUGAAGCUUGGUGCUUGCACCGAGCGGAUGAGUUGCGCACGGGUGAGUAACGCGUAGGUAACCUGCCUGGUAGCGGGGGAUAACUAUUGGAAACGAUAGCUAAUACCGCAUAAGAGUAGAUGUUGCAUGACAUUUGCUUAAAAGGUGCAAUUGCAUCACUACCAGAUGGACCCGCGUUGUAUUAGCUAGUUGGUGAGGUAACGGCUCACCAAGGCAACGAUACAUAGCCGACCUGAGAGGGUGAUCGGCCACACUGGGACUGAGACACGGCCCAGACUCCUACGGGAGGCAGCAGUAGGGAAUCUUCGGCAAUGGACGGAAGUCUGACCGAGCAACGCCGCGUGAGUGAAGAAGGGUUUCGGAUCGUAAAGCUCUGUUGUAAGAGAAGAACGAGUGUGAGAGUGGAAAGUUCACACUGUGACGGUAUCUUACCAGAAAGGGACGGCUAACUACGUG
RNAcentral lists this ribosomal RNA (497 nucleotides) under uncultured bacterium. RNAcentral's name for it is "partial 16S ribosomal RNA". It matches the Rfam family "Bacterial small subunit ribosomal RNA", at positions 36 to 507 of the family's 1533-position model. The record is from RNAcentral.